Molecule: ribosomal RNA, 416 nt
Filed under: uncultured bacterium
Lineage: Bacteria
Description: bacterial SSU rRNA
Rfam family: Bacterial small subunit ribosomal RNA
Source: RNAcentral
GAUGAACGCUAGCGGGAGGCCUAACACAUGCAAGCCGAGCGGUAGAGAUUCUUCGGAAUCUUGAGAGCGGCGUACGGGUGCGGAACACGUGUGCAACCAACCUUUAUCUGGAGGAUAGCCUUUCGAAAGGAAGAUUAAUACUCCAUAAUAUAUUGAUUGGCAUCAAUUGAUAUUGAAAGCUCCGGCGGAUAGAGAUGGGCACGCGCAAGAUUAGUUAGUUGGUGAGGUAACGGCUCACCAAGACGAUGAUCUUUAGGGGCCUGAGAGGGUGAUCCCCCACACUGGUACUGAGACACGGACCAGACUCCUACGGGAGGCAGCAGUGAGGAAUAUUAGGUCAAUGGGUGCAAGCCUGAACCAGCCAUCCCGCGUGAAGGACGACUGCCCUAUGGGUUGUAAACUUCUUUUGUAUAGGG